UCAAGUAAAGAAACAAACAAACAAACAAAAAACACACUUCACUCGCUACACAAGGAAGAGAGAUGGCGACGUCAGGAACAUAUGUGACGGAGGUUCCAUUGAAAGGAUCGGCUGAGAAACACUACAAGCGGUGGAGGAGUGAGAACCACCUCUUCCCCGACGCCAUCGGCCACCACAUCCAAGGUGUCACCAUCCACGACGGUGAAUGGGACUCCCAUGGAGCCAUCAAGAUUUGGAACUACACAUGCGGUAAAAAU
This 257-nucleotide small RNA is filed under the name Arabidopsis thaliana (thale cress). RNAcentral's name for it is "ATSL077760". Lineage: Eukaryota; Viridiplantae; Streptophyta; Magnoliopsida; Brassicales; Brassicaceae. The record is from RNAcentral.